AUUGAACGCUGGCGGCAUGCUUUACACAUGCAAGUCGAACGGCAGCGGGGGCUUCGGCCCGCCGGCGAGUGGCGAACGGGUGAGUAAUGCAUCGGAACGUGCCCAGUCGUGGGGGAUAACACAUCGAAAGAUGUGCUAAUACCGCAUACGUCCUGAGGGAGAAAGCGGGGGAUCUUCGGACCUCGCGCGAUUGGAGCGGCCGAUGUCGGAUUAGCUAGUUGGUGGGGUAAAAGCCCACCAAGGCGACGAUCCGUAGCGGGUCUGAGAGGAUGAUCCGCCACACUGGGACUGAGACACGGCCCAGACUCCUACGGGAGGCAGCAGUGAGGAAUAUUGGUCAAUGGACGCAAGUCUGAACCAGCCACGUCGCGUGAAGGAAGACGGCCCUACGGGUUGUAAACUUCUUUUAUACGGGAAUAAAGUGCCCCACGCGUGGGUUUUGCAUGUACCGUAUGAAUAAGGAUCGGCUAACUCCGUGCCAGCAGCCGCGGUAGUA
Molecule: ribosomal RNA, 496 nt
Filed under: uncultured bacterium
Lineage: Bacteria
Description: bacterial SSU rRNA
Rfam family: Bacterial small subunit ribosomal RNA
Source: RNAcentral